UACGUAGGUCGCAAGCGUUGUCCGGAUUUACUGGGCGUAAAGAGCGCGCAGGCGGCUGGUCAAGUCCGAUGUGAAAUCUCCCGGCUCAACUGGGAAACUGCAUCGGAAACUGAUCGGCUUGAAGAUGGGAGAGGGUAGUGGAAUUCCCGGUGUAGCGGUGAAAUGCGUAGAGAUGUGGAGGAACACCGAUGGCGAAGGCAGCUCGCUGGGACGGUACUGACGCUGAGACGCGAAAGCGUGGGGAGCGAACAGG
Molecule: ribosomal RNA, 253 nt
Filed under: uncultured bacterium
Lineage: Bacteria
Description: partial 16S ribosomal RNA
Rfam family: Bacterial small subunit ribosomal RNA
Source: RNAcentral